CCGUGAGGGAAAGAUGCAAAGAACUUUGAAAAGAGAGUUAAAGAGUACCUGAAAUUGCUGAAAGGGAAGCGAAGGAAACCAGUGUCGGCUUGGUCAUAUUUCCCUGUCCGCUUGCGGAUUGGGCGCUGUGUCCUGCCUGUGUUGUUCUUGGUUGGUUGUGCUGGAAGAGCGCAGUGAGAGUUGAUCAUUGUUGCUAUGCAGCGCAUCUGACCUGAGGAGGACGAAAUGGUUUUCUUUACCCCGUCUUGAAACACGGACCAAGGAGUCUAACAUAUGUGCGAGUACAGAGGUGGCAAACCUCCGUGCGUAAUGAAAGUGACAGUGGUUGGACAAUUUUGCACAAUCCGCCGGCCUCAAUCCCAUCGGGAGAACGGUCUGAGUGUGAGCAUACAUGUUGGGACCCUGAAGAUGGUGAACUAUGCCUGAAUAGGGUGAAGCCAGGGGAAACUCUGGU
RNAcentral lists this ribosomal RNA (454 nucleotides) under Kryptoperidinium foliaceum. RNAcentral's name for it is "LSU rRNA". It matches the Rfam family "Eukaryotic large subunit ribosomal RNA", at positions 351 to 868 of the family's 3401-position model. The record is from RNAcentral. Lineage: Eukaryota; Dinophyceae; Peridiniales; Kryptoperidiniaceae.